This 58-nucleotide transfer RNA is filed under the name Erinaceus europaeus (western European hedgehog). It matches the Rfam family "tRNA", at positions 8 to 63 of the family's 71-position model. From Rfam's summary of the family: Transfer RNA (tRNA) molecules are approximately 80 nucleotides in length. Lineage: Eukaryota; Metazoa; Chordata; Mammalia; Eulipotyphla; Erinaceidae. The record is from Rfam by way of RNAcentral.
UAGCUCAGUCAGUAGAUCAUGAGAUUCUUAAUCUCAGGGUCGUGAGUUCGAGCCUCAC